Molecule: ribosomal RNA, 253 nt
Filed under: uncultured bacterium
Lineage: Bacteria
Description: partial 16S ribosomal RNA
Rfam family: Bacterial small subunit ribosomal RNA
Source: RNAcentral
UACGUAGGGCGCAAGCGUUGUCCGGAAUUAUUGGGCGUAAAGAGCGUGUAGGCGGCCAGGUAGGUCGGUUGUGAAAACUGGAGGCUCAACCUUCAGACGUCGACCGAAACCCCCUGGCUAGAGUCCGGAAGAGGAGAGUGGAAUUCCUGGUGUAGCGGUGAAAUGCGCAGAUAUCAGGAAGAACACCCGUGGCGAAGGCGGCUCUCUGGGACGGUACUGACGCUGAGACGCGAAAGCGUGGGGAGCGAACAGG